AAAGUUUUAAGUUAAUAAAACUAUUAACCUUCAAAGUUAAAAUUAUAAUUUUUAUAAACUUUU
Molecule: transfer RNA, 63 nt
Filed under: unidentified
Description: Capodemus sinuatus tRNA-Trp
Source: RNAcentral